GCCCAUAUCAGAAUGGCUCAUAUCAAAUAUUAAAAUUUAAAUAGACUAAAAUCACAUGCAUUUAAAUUUUAAUAGGCCUAAAUUACAUAAAUUGAAAUUCUAAUACAGUAAAAAAAAUUAAACUAACUAUCAAUACCGUAAUGUCUAAUUUUAAACUGAAUCUAGAUUAACACCCCUACAUAACAUACUAAAACUAGUUAACAAUUCAAUAAUUCUUCUAUCUUGGAUCCAAGAACUCAAUAAUUGGCUUGUGAGUAUUUCCAAUGACCUGAAAAAGAUAGCCAAAACAACUAGCCUUAGGAAAAUACCAAAUAUAUCAAGUGGCAAAAUAGAAUAUAGAAAUCUAUGCAUUAGACAGGUUAUUUUCAUCAAUUUCAUUUCAAAAAAAUAUAUAUAGAAAUCAGGAGCCUGAUUAAUAAAACAGAACAAAUUAUAAAGAACAUUAAAUUCAAAAUAAAAAUAACAAAAUCAUAGAUGAUAGAAUAGAUUUUAAAUUAACCAGAAAAUGCAAAUGGUGUUUACAACGCUUACCUCUCAAAUAUCACCACAAAUCUAUAAAAUGCAAAGAGGAUAGAAGAUUAUCAAACCCUAAACCUUAACUCAUAAAAUAAAUAAAUUAUUUUAGUCAAAUAGCAAUAUGAUCAAAGGAUUUAAAGGGUCUACCUCUUAAAUCUCACAGAUCUGGAAUAAAAUCAAAGGGUUUAAAGGGUCUAGCUCUCAAAUCUCACAGAUCUGGAAAAUGCAUCUGAUAGAUGGAAGAUUCUCAAAACCUAACUCGAAAAAAAAAUGUUAGUCAAAUAGUAACAUGAAAAACCCUAACUAGAAUAGGAAACUGAAUAACAGAAAAACAAGAGAAGAAGAAUAUGAAUGGAAAAAUAAAUUAACCAGAGCAUUAUCUUUGAUUGAAAAUCCUAAACCAUAAGCAGCAAUAUAUCUUUCUUCUUGUGCAUAACAUGAUAGAAAAGCAAAAAGAAAAUUGUUAAAGAGUAGUAAAAACUUAAAACGAAAAAGAGAGAAGAGUUGAGGAACGAAAACAGAGAAGAAACAAACCAUAUUUCUAAGAGAAGAUCUACGGUGAUGGAGGUAGCAGCGGCG
RNAcentral lists this long non-coding RNA (1095 nucleotides) under Trifolium pratense (red clover). Its description in RNAcentral is "long non-coding RNA (TPRA_LNC005600)". Lineage: Eukaryota; Viridiplantae; Streptophyta; Magnoliopsida; Fabales; Fabaceae. The record is from RNAcentral.